UGGGGAAUAUUGGACAAUGGGCGAAAGCCUGAUCCAGCCAUGCCGCGUGUGUGAAGAAGGUCUUCGGAUUGUAAAGCACUUUAAGCUGGGAGGAAGGGCAUUAACCUAAUACGUUAGUGUUUUGACGUUACCGACAGAAUAAGAACCGGCUAACUCUGUGCCAGCAGCCGCGGUAAUACAGAGGGUGCAAGCGUUAAUCGGAAUUACUGGGCGUAAAGCGCGCGUAGGUGGGUUGUUAAGUUGGAUGUGAAAUCCCCGGGCUCAACCUGGGAACUGCAUUCAAAACUGACUGACUAGAGUAUGGUAGAGGGUGGUGGAAUUUCCUGUGUAGCGGUGAAAUGCGUAGAUAUAGGAAGGAACACCAGUGGCGAAGGCGACCACCUGGACUAAUACUGACACUGAGGUGCGAAAGCGUGGGGAGCAAACA
Molecule: ribosomal RNA, 427 nt
Filed under: uncultured bacterium
Lineage: Bacteria
Description: partial 16S ribosomal RNA
Rfam family: Bacterial small subunit ribosomal RNA
Source: RNAcentral